This 482-nucleotide ribosomal RNA is filed under the name uncultured bacterium. RNAcentral describes it as "partial 16S ribosomal RNA". It matches the Rfam family "Bacterial small subunit ribosomal RNA", at positions 30 to 507 of the family's 1533-position model. The record is from RNAcentral.
AUUGAACGCUGGCGGCAUGCUUUACACAUGCAAGUCGAACGGCAGCGCGGGGCAACCUGGCGGCGAGUGGAGAACGGGUGAGUAAUAUAUCGGAACGUACCCAGAAGUUGGGGAUAACGUAGCGAAAGGUACGCUAAUACCGCAUACGAUCUACGGUUGAUGGUGGGGGACCGCAAGGUCUUAUGCUUUUGGAUCGGCCGAUAUCUGAUUAGCUAGUUGGUGAGGUAAAGGCUCACCAAGGCGACGAUCAGUAGCUGGUCUGAGAGGAUGACCAGCCACACUGGAACUGAGCCACGGUCCAGACUACUACGGGAGGCAGCAGUGGGGAAUUUUGGACAAUGGGCGCAAGCCUGAUCCAGCAAUGCCGCGUGAGUGAAGAAGGCCUUCGGGUUGUAAAGCUCUUUUGUCAGGGAAGAAACGGUAGAGGCUAAUAUCCAUCGCUAAUGACGGUACCUGAAGAAUAAGCACCGGCUAACUACGUG